GCACAGCUUACCAACUCACAGAUCUGAGCUUGAAUCUCAGCAUACCUACUUUCUCAUUCUGUGAAUUUAGCCUUAUCAACUCAAUGCUUACCUGUGACAGACCCUGACGAUCUUAAUGAAUUCCCAAGGCUACUAAAGAA
RNAcentral lists this long non-coding RNA (140 nucleotides) under Mustela putorius furo (domestic ferret). Its description in RNAcentral is "lncRNA (ENSMPUG00000031523.1)". Lineage: Eukaryota; Metazoa; Chordata; Mammalia; Carnivora; Mustelidae. The record is from RNAcentral.